GUGAGGAAUAUUGCGCAAUGGAGGCAACUCUGACGCAGCCAUGCCGCGUGCAGGAAGAAGGCGCUACGCGUUGUAAACUGCUUUUAACCGGGAAGAAACCCCAGGACGUGUCCUGGGUUGACGGUACCGGAGGAAUAAGCACCGGCUAACUUCGUGCCAGCAGCCGAGGUAAUACGAAGGGUGCAAGCGUUAUCCGGAUUCAUUGGGUUUAAAGGGUGCGUAGGCGGAGCGUUAAGUCAGUGGUGAAAUCCUGCAGCUUAACUGUAGACUUGCCAUUGAUACUGGCGCUCUUGAGUGCGCUUGAAGUGGGCGGAAUGUGCCGUGUAGCGGUGAAAUGCUUAGAUAUGGCACAGAACACCAAUUGCGAAGGCAGCUCACUAAGGCGAUACUGACGCUGAGGCACGAAAGCGUGGGGAUCGAACAGGAUUAGAAACCCCAGUAGUCC
This 445-nucleotide ribosomal RNA is filed under the name uncultured bacterium. Its description in RNAcentral is "bacterial SSU rRNA". It matches the Rfam family "Bacterial small subunit ribosomal RNA", at positions 354 to 796 of the family's 1533-position model. The record is from RNAcentral.